AGCCUUGUAGUGAAAUUUCAUGUUGAAUUGCAAAUUCAAAGAAGCAGCUUCAAUUCUGCCGAGGCU
Molecule: transfer RNA, 66 nt
Filed under: Scaptonyx fusicauda
Lineage: Eukaryota; Metazoa; Chordata; Mammalia; Eulipotyphla; Talpidae
Description: tRNA-Cys
Rfam family: tRNA
About the family: Transfer RNA (tRNA) molecules are approximately 80 nucleotides in length. Their secondary structure includes four short double-helical elements and three loops (D, anti-codon, and T loops).
Source: RNAcentral